GAAAAUGAGAUUAGUGCGCACAAAAAUAUAUUUGGAAAAAUUGGCUAGAACAUCUCAAAUUUAGUGAAAUACAUAAAUUUACAUAUUCAAGAAGCUCAAUGAACCCCAAACGGGCUCAAAAAUAGACUAAAAAAAGAAAACCAUACCCAAACAUGUUGUAAUUAAACCACCGAAACCAAACGUAAAGGAAAAUUACUGAAAGCAGCUGAAGGAAAACAACACAUAUAGGGGUACAAUUAUUGCAGGCCAAAAGAGUGAGGGUCGUGAUCAACUCAGUAUACCACUGGAGGCUAUAUGAGUAAACAGCAAACUGUUCUCAUAAAUGCAGAAUGUUGGCAAACUGUCAAACUGCGUCUGCCACCCAGAAGGAAUGCUGAGGGCAGUCACACCCCAAGCGCAGUGUUUCCUGUGAUUAGGUACAUCUGAAGCCUGUUAGUAAUAAUAUGAACCUGUGAUCAGUUAAGCAGCUGACCAAUCGUUACCUCCUCUUCCUUGCUUUUUCUACCCAAUAAAUACGAAGGGCUGUAGAAGCUCAGGGGCUGCCUUUGCUCACUAGAAGCAGGGAGCUCUCUUCUUCUUCCUCUGGCCCCUUCCUUUAAAACAGUUUCUGUUGUCUUAAGUUUUCAUUUCUAUGUUCGUCCCUUCAUUCACUCUUGUAAUGAUGGUCUCAAGUAGUGACAGUAGUAACUGCCCCACUGACGGUCUCAAGUAGUAACCGUGGCAGUCUGUCACAUGCAAUGAUUGAAAUGCAGACUUUUCCUUAGUAACCAGAGAGUGAAAAAAAAAUUUUUUUCCAAGGGCUUAAAACUGACCAAAGGUACUGUUUUCUGUUUAAAGAAGAGAUUAAUGAAAAUAAAAAUAGCUGCUUCACAGUAGAAAAUUUCUCAUUUUUGUUCAUGAAAUCACCACUAAUAGAAAAACGUACAGAGUGGAAGAAAGCAGAAUUGGGCAGAGUGAGAUGUUGAACUGCCAUAGCCGUUCAACAUGAGAUGUUGAAAUCCACCGCCCAGCACAUGGAGCUCUGAAGCUGGGACAACCUGCAAGAAUUGCCCAGGAUUGAGGCAAUCAGGAAAGGCUUUAUACUCCAUGUCACUGAUGCGUCAUUGGAUGUGAACUGUCCAGGAAACGGGCGUGACCUUCAGUGUGUAACUCUCUUUGGCUUAGGCAACUCAGAAGAGGACUUACAAUUGAAGGCUUUCUGCUAGCAACGCUUUCUGCUAGCAACACACCCUGCAACUGGAGGAACACAUUCUUGAGUCUGGAAGUAGAACCGGGUGCCCCACAGCAUCCGUUAUUCCUACACAUUACACUGGUAAAUUAUUUAUCCUUCAGAAGGUGCUGUCUCGAUUUGCACUCCUCUGUUAUUAAUGGCACUUUUUAAAAACUGAAAUUGUUUUUUUUUACGUAAUUUCUCCAACCACACGGUGAGUGUCUCAUGAGAAAGAAUGUUGUAUUCACCACCACCUAUUUCCUCAGUCUCCACUUUUCGGGCUGAACCCGAGAGCCAGCGUGCAGCGCAGCUGGGGGCGUGACCGACAUGAGAUGAAAACUGCGCAGACUCAGCAACUCAGCCCCAAUAGGAGGGCACGAGCCCCAGCGUCCUCGGUUUCCAUAGUGACAGAGCCUACUUCUGGUCUCUAACCGCCACGGUUUCCCUUCUUAGCUCCGGGCGCACCCAGGAAAGACAAAAAUACGCAUAAGGCCAGCCGUUUGACCCCUUGCUGCGGAAGAUAAAGGGCUCCACUCUAAACGUGGUGAUCCUGUUCACCCCUGGGAGCUGCUUGGCAGAACUGGCCCUACACACCAGGAAACUGGAGGAAGGAUGAAAGACUGGAAGGACUGUGGUUGUGGAGGAGACCAAAGGAAUGCCGCCCGCGGUAGAAUGUUGGCAGGUCUUGCAUAGCGCUACAGACACAACAUGUGGUGGCCUAAGCACCCUAAUUUCUUUGUUUCUGCCUAGCCAGUAUAACAGUCCAGAAAACCUCCUUUCCUUUAGGAAAUACUCAGGGAUAUUAAAAUCGAAUUCAGAAAAGAA
This is a long non-coding RNA of Homo sapiens (human), 2035 nucleotides long. RefSeq lists it as uncharacterized. The record is from RefSeq and is a predicted model, not a curated record. Lineage: Eukaryota; Metazoa; Chordata; Mammalia; Primates; Hominidae. The transcript is spliced from 2 exons.